GUUUGGCACCUCGAUGUCGGCUCGUCGCAUCCUGGGGCUGGAGUCGGUCCCAAGGGUUGGGCUGUUCGCCCAUUAAAGCGGUACGCGAGCUGGGUUUAGAACGUCGUGAGACAGUUCGGUCCCUAUCCGCUGUGCGCGUAGGAAUAUUGAGAAGGGCUGUCCCUAGUACGAGAGGACCGGGACGGACGAACCUCUGGUGUGCCAGUUGUUCUGCCAAGGGCAUGGCUGGUUGGCUACGUUCGGAAAGGAUAACCGCUGAAAGCAUCUAAGCGGGAAGCCUGCUUCGAGAUGAGUAUUCCCACCCUCUUGAGGGGUUAAGGCUCCCAGUAGACGACUGGGUUGAUAGGCCAGAUGUGGAAGCCCUGUGAGGGGUGGAGCUGACUGGUACUAAUAGGCCGAGGGCUUGUCCUC
Molecule: ribosomal RNA, 411 nt
Filed under: Streptomyces sp. COG21
Lineage: Bacteria; Bacillati; Actinomycetota; Actinomycetes; Kitasatosporales; Streptomycetaceae
Description: partial 23S ribosomal RNA
Rfam family: Bacterial large subunit ribosomal RNA
Source: RNAcentral